UGUAUAAUGGGUCAGCGACUUAUAUUCUGUAGCAAGGUUAACCGAAUAGGGGAGCCGAAGGGAAACCGAGUCUUAACUGGGCGUUAAGUUGCAGGGUAUAGACCCGAAACCCGGUGAUCUAGCCAUGGGCAGGUUGAAGGUUGGGUAACACUAACUGGAGGACCGAACCGACUAAUGUUGAAAAAUUAGCGGAUGACUUGUGGCUGGGGGUGAAAGGCCAAUCAAACCGGGAGAUAGCUGGUUCUCCCCGAAAGCUAUUUAGGUAGCGCCUCGUGAAUUCAUCUCCGGGGGUAGAGCACUGUUUCGGCAAGGGGGUCAUCCCGACUUACCAACCCGAUGCAAACUGCGAAUACCGGAGAAUGUUAUCACGGGAGACACA
RNAcentral lists this ribosomal RNA (379 nucleotides) under Escherichia coli. RNAcentral's name for it is "partial 23S ribosomal RNA". It matches the Rfam family "Bacterial large subunit ribosomal RNA", at positions 609 to 988 of the family's 2925-position model. Lineage: Bacteria; Pseudomonadati; Pseudomonadota; Gammaproteobacteria; Enterobacterales; Enterobacteriaceae. The record is from RNAcentral.